Molecule: ribosomal RNA, 467 nt
Filed under: uncultured bacterium
Lineage: Bacteria
Description: partial 16S ribosomal RNA
Rfam family: Bacterial small subunit ribosomal RNA
Source: RNAcentral
GACGAACGCUGGCGGCGUGCUUAACACAUGCAAGUCGAACGGAAAGGCCCUGCUUUUGUGGGGUGCUCGAGUGGGGAACGGGUGAGUAACACGUGAGUAACCUGCCCUUGACUUUGGGAUAACUUCAGGAAACUGGGGCUAAUACCGGAUAGGAGCUCCUGCUGCAUGGUGGGGGUUGGAAAGUUUCGGCGGUUGGGGAUGGACUCGCGGCUUAUCAGCUUGUUGGUGGGGUAGUGGCUUACCAAGGCUUUGACGGGUAGCCGGCCUGAGAGGGUGACCGGCCACAUUGGGACUGAGAUACGGCCCAGACUCCUACGGGAGGCAACAGUGGGGAAUAUUGCACAAUGGGCGGAAGCCUGAUGCAGCAACGCCGCGUGCGGGAUGACGGCCUUCGGGUUGUAAACCGCUUUCGCCUGUGACGAAGCGUGAGUGACGGUAAUGGGUAAAGAAGCACCGGCUAACUACGU